This 254-nucleotide ribosomal RNA is filed under the name uncultured bacterium. RNAcentral's name for it is "partial 16S ribosomal RNA". It matches the Rfam family "Bacterial small subunit ribosomal RNA", at positions 524 to 776 of the family's 1533-position model. The record is from RNAcentral.
CACGUAGGGUGCGAGCGUUGUCCGGAAUUAUUGGGCGUAAAGAGCUCGUAGGCGGUGUGUCGCGUCGGCCGUGAAAACCUGCAGCUUAACUGUGGGCGUGCGGUCGAUACGGGCAUCACUGGAGUUCGGUAGGGGAGACUGGAAUUCCUGGUGUAGCGGUGAAAUGCGCAGAUAUCAGGAGGAACACCGGUGGCGAAGGCGGGUCUCUGGGCCGAAACUGACGCUGAGGAGCGAAAGCGUGGGGAGCAAACAGG